This is a long non-coding RNA of Dermacentor silvarum, 520 nucleotides long. RefSeq lists it as uncharacterized. Lineage: Eukaryota; Metazoa; Arthropoda; Arachnida; Ixodida; Ixodidae. The record is from RefSeq and is a predicted model, not a curated record. The transcript has 3 exons.
UAUUUCUGACCGUUGACCAGAGACUUGGAGUGUUGGAACAUAACCUCGACGUCCACUCGACGGCAGCCAAUAUUUUGAACCUUAUCGAAGAAUCGUUCGCCAUACUGAAUACGCUGACUACAACGUUUCCUUAUUACCUCUACUUUCCAACGCCGAAGUGGAGACGGUUCGUCCGCGCCGCGGACGAAGUCAUGAGGUUGCUGUCACCACGUGUUAUGGCAGCAGCGGAAAGGGCUGAUCAUAUGGGGAAGAAGGAAAGCACCACACUCAUCGCCUCUCUACAACGUGAAGGAAAACUAAGCUUUAAAGAAAUCUGGACGUUCGUUUCUGACUUCACGAUGGCGGGUUCUGAAACGAUUGCAGCUGUUGCAACGUAUUGCUUAUACUGCCUUGCAAUGAACCCUCUCGCUCAACAAAAAGCCAGCGAAGAGGUUCGCUCAGUUCUGAACAAACAUUCAAACAGUGAAAUAAGUAUCAAGUAUUCCGAACUUUCUUACUUAAAGGCCUGUAUCCGUGAAUC